Molecule: ribosomal RNA, 253 nt
Filed under: uncultured bacterium
Lineage: Bacteria
Description: partial 16S ribosomal RNA
Rfam family: Bacterial small subunit ribosomal RNA
Source: RNAcentral
CACGUAGGGUGCGAGCGUUGUCCGGAAUUAUUGGGCGUAAAGCGCGUGUAGGCGGCCCGGUAAGUCCGCUGUGAAAGUCGGGGGCUCAACCCUCGGAUGCCGGUGGAUACUGUCGGGCUCGAGUACGGAAGAGGCGAGUGGAAUUCCUGGUGUAGCGGUGAAAUGCGCAGAUAUCAGGAGGAACACCAAUUGCGAAGGCAGCUCGCUGGGACGUUACUGACGCUGAGACGCGAAAGCGUGGGGAGCGAACAGG